RNAcentral lists this ribosomal RNA (429 nucleotides) under uncultured Arenimonas sp. RNAcentral describes it as "bacterial SSU rRNA". It matches the Rfam family "Bacterial small subunit ribosomal RNA", at positions 355 to 776 of the family's 1533-position model. The record is from RNAcentral. Lineage: Bacteria; Pseudomonadati; Pseudomonadota; Gammaproteobacteria; Lysobacterales; Lysobacteraceae.
UGGGGAAUAUUGGACAAUGGGCGCAAGCCUGAUCCAGCCAUGCCGCGUGUGUGAAGAAGGCCUUCGGGUUGUAAAGCACUUUUGUUGGGGAAGAAAACCUGUUGGUUAAUACCCGGCGGGAAUGACGGUACCCAAAGAAUAAGCACCGGCUAACUUCGUGCCAGCAGCCGCGGUAAUACGAAGGGUGCAAGCGUUACUCGGAAUUACUGGGCGUAAAGCGUGCGUAGGUGGUUCGUUAAGUCUGCCGUGAAAGCCCCGGGCUCAACCUGGGAAUGGCGGUGGAUACUGGCGGACUAGAGUGCGGUAGAGGGUGGUGGAAUUCCCGGUGUAGCAGUGAAAUGCGUAGAGAUCGGGAGGAACAUCUGUGGCGAAGGCGGCCACCUGGACCAGCACUGACACUGAGGCACGAAAGCGUGGGGAGCAAACAGG